Vombatus ursinus (common wombat) is the source of this 670-nucleotide long non-coding RNA. RefSeq lists it as uncharacterized. The record is from RefSeq and is a predicted model, not a curated record. NCBI's taxonomy places the organism in Eukaryota, Metazoa, Chordata, Mammalia, Diprotodontia, Vombatidae. The transcript has 3 exons.
UUCAAUAUUCAUAACUGCAAGUCAGUGGCCUCACAAUUUAGCUGAUCUUGAUGAGCUCGUGAAUUCUGGCUGGGAAGGGAGAGUCGAAGAGGCUACUGAAAGUCAGCACCAGCUUUUUCUCAUGUGUCCAUGUCAAGUUCAACAAAUGGCAAAGAAGUGAGAUGACAAAAAGGUGAGGACAACAACCUUUGCCGGGGUCAUACUCUCACUUAGUACACCACCACCAGCUGACUCAUCACCUCUCAAACAACGAAAGCCAAGAAAAAAACAGAAAAGCCCAUUCUGGCAGAUAUAACAUCUCAAGCUUCAUAAUCUGCCCUGGACUGGCUCUAAUCUGGUUUGGGUUUCUGCUGUUUGAGUCCCCAGAAGAGUGCUGACUCACUGUUCCCCUUUAGACUACCAGCAUCAAACUCAAAUAAUAAUGAAGGCCAGUAGGCCUUACAUAAGGAUCCUUGUGGGCUGACUUACUGACUUGUUGACUUAGAGAACCACACAUUUGUGUAUUUCUCUUUUUUUAAUAUAUAAACACAUUAAAAUCAGAUAGGAACUAUAUUUUGAUCUGGUUUCGACUGGUUUCAGGAGUGUUGUGGCCUGCAUGUGGCCUGCUGGCUUCAUGGGUGUCUCCUCUGCGUUGGACUGAGCAGCGCCACAUCUCCCCCUCGUUACUAGA